Molecule: transfer RNA, 68 nt
Filed under: Marmota marmota marmota (Alpine marmot)
Lineage: Eukaryota; Metazoa; Chordata; Mammalia; Rodentia; Sciuridae
Also listed under: 1 other name
Rfam family: tRNA
About the family: Transfer RNA (tRNA) molecules are approximately 80 nucleotides in length. Their secondary structure includes four short double-helical elements and three loops (D, anti-codon, and T loops).
Source: Rfam by way of RNAcentral
GGGUUAUAGCUCAGUGGUAGAGCCCUUGCCUACCAUGCAUGAGGCACUGGUUUCAAUCCUUAACACCA